RNAcentral lists this ribosomal RNA (460 nucleotides) under uncultured bacterium. RNAcentral's name for it is "partial 16S ribosomal RNA". It matches the Rfam family "Bacterial small subunit ribosomal RNA", at positions 338 to 795 of the family's 1533-position model. The record is from RNAcentral.
CCUACGGGGGGCAGCAGUGAGGAAUAUUGGUCAAUGGACGAGAGUCUGAACCAGCCAAGUAGCGUGAAGGAUGACUGCCCUAUGGGUUGUAAACUUCUUUAGGCGGGGAGCAAUGCCGGGCACGCGUGCCCGGAGGGAGAGUACCCGCAGAAUAAGCAUCGGCUAACUCCGUGCCAGCAGCCGCGGUAAUACGGAGGAUGCGAGCGUUAUCCGGAUGUAUUGGGUUUAAAGGGUGCGUAGGCGGAUUUUUAAGUCAGCGGUAAAAUGUCCGGGCUCAACCCGGGCCGGCCGUUGAAACUGGGGAUCUUGAGUGGGCGAGAAGUAUGCGGAAUGCGUGGUGUAGCGGUGAAAUGCAUAGAUAUCACGCAGAACUCCGAUUGCGAAGGCAGCAUACCGGCGCCCGACUGACGCUGAGGCACGAAAGCGUGGGGAUCGAACAGGAUUAGAUACCCUGGUAGUC